UGACUGCCGGUGACAAACCGGAGGAAGGUGGGGAUGACGUCAAAUCAUCAUGCCCCUUAUGAUUUGGGCUACACACGUGCUACAAUGGACAAUACAAAGGGCAGCGAAACCGCGAGGUCAAGCAAAUCCCAUAAAGUUGUUCUCAGUUCGGAUUGUAGUCUGCAACUCGACUACAUGAAGCUGGAAUCGCUAGUAAUCGUAGAUCAGCAUGCUACGGUGAAUACGUUCCCGGGUCUUGUACACACCGCCCGUCACACCACGAGAGUUUGUAACACCCGAAGCCGGUGGAGUAACCUUUUAGGAGCUAGCCGUCGAAGGUGGGACAAAUGAUUGGGGUGAAGUCGUAACAAGGUAGCCGUAUCGGAAGGUGCGGCUGGAUCACCUCCUUU
This 389-nucleotide ribosomal RNA is filed under the name Staphylococcus aureus. RNAcentral describes it as "bacterial SSU rRNA". It matches the Rfam family "Bacterial small subunit ribosomal RNA", at positions 1146 to 1533 of the family's 1533-position model. The record is from RNAcentral. Lineage: Bacteria; Bacillati; Bacillota; Bacilli; Caryophanales; Staphylococcaceae.